CGGCAACGGAUAUCUCGGCUCUCGCAUCGAUGAAGAACGUAGCGAAAUGCGAUACUUGGUGUGAAUUGCAGAAUCCCGUGAACCAUCGAGUUUUUGAACGCAAGUUGCGCCCGAAGCCGUCAGGCCGAGGGCACGCCUGCCUGGGUGUCACGUAACGUC
This 159-nucleotide ribosomal RNA is filed under the name Celastrus flagellaris. RNAcentral's name for it is "5.8S ribosomal RNA". It matches the Rfam family "5.8S ribosomal RNA". Rfam says of the family: 5.8S ribosomal RNA (5.8S rRNA) is a component of the large subunit of the eukaryotic ribosome. It is transcribed by RNA polymerase I as part of the 45S precursor that also contains 18S and 28S rRNA. The record is from RNAcentral. Lineage: Eukaryota; Viridiplantae; Streptophyta; Magnoliopsida; Celastrales; Celastraceae.